This 525-nucleotide ribosomal RNA is filed under the name uncultured bacterium. Its description in RNAcentral is "partial 16S ribosomal RNA". It matches the Rfam family "Bacterial small subunit ribosomal RNA", at positions 28 to 523 of the family's 1533-position model. The record is from RNAcentral.
GACGAACGCUGGCGGCGUGCCUAAUACAUGCAAGUCGAGCGCGUGAAACAACUUGAUCCCUUCGGGGUGAUGGUUGUGGAUCGAGCGGCGGACGGGUGAGUAACACGUGGGCAACCUGCCUGUAAGACUGGGAUAACUUCGGGAAACCGGAGCUAAUACCGGAUAAUCAAUGGCAUCUCCUGAUGCCAUUGUGAAAGAUGGUUCUGCCAUCACUUACAGAUGGGCCCGCGGCGCAUUAGCUAGUUGGUGGGGUAAUGGCCCACCAAGGCAACGAGGCGUAGCCGACCUGAGAGGGUGAUCGGCCACACUGGGACUGAGACACGGCCCAGACUCCUACGGGAGGCAGCAGUAGGGAAUCUUCGGCAAUGGACGAAAGUCUGACCGAGCAACGCCGCGUGAGUGAUGAAGGUCUUCGGAUCGUAAAGCUCUGUUGUCAGAGAAGAACACGUGACAGAGGAAAUGCUGUCACCUUGACGGUAUCUGACCAGAAAGCCCCGGCUAACUACGUGCCAGCAGCCGCGGUAA